GAUGAACGCUAGCUACAGGCUUAACACAUGCAAGUCGAGCGGAGCGGCGGACGGAAGAGUAAUGCCUAGGAAGCUGCCUGGUAGUGGGGGAUAACGUCCGGAAACGGGCGCUAAUACCGCAUACUAUCAGAUGAGCCUAGGUCGGAUUAUCUAGUUGGUGGGGUAACGGCCUACCAAGGCGACGAUCCGUAACUGGUCUGAGAGGAUGAUCAGUCCCACUGGAACUGAGACACGGUCCAGACGCCUACGGGAGGCAGCAGUGGGGAAUAUUGGACAAUGGGCGAAAGCCUGAUCCAGCCAUGCCGCGUGUGUGAAGAAGGUCUUCGGAUUGUAAAGCACUUUAAGUUGGGAGGCGUUACCAACAGAAUAAGCACCGGCUAACUUCGUGCCAGCAGCCGCGGUAAUUC
RNAcentral lists this ribosomal RNA (407 nucleotides) under uncultured bacterium. RNAcentral describes it as "partial 16S ribosomal RNA". It matches the Rfam family "Bacterial small subunit ribosomal RNA", at positions 28 to 526 of the family's 1533-position model. The record is from RNAcentral.